This 48-nucleotide non-coding RNA is filed under the name Schistosoma mansoni. Lineage: Eukaryota; Metazoa; Platyhelminthes; Trematoda; Strigeidida; Schistosomatidae. The record is from RNAcentral.
AUCCAGCUGACGAGUCCCAAUAAGGACGAAACCCGCAUCAAACUGGAU